AAAGCAAGGAAGGAAACCAGUUAGAGCUAAAAGAUGUGAUGACUACCAUCCAAUUCUUUUCACUCCAUCUUCUGCAUCGGCAAAGGCUAAAAAUCAAGUAUGUUUGAUGAUUCAUUUGCUGCGUUUUAUUUGGAGACGACAUUAAUUUUCUUAGGUCGCCAACAAACGACUACUGUGUUGUUUGAAUGACAAUUAGCAGGUAAAUGGAGGCAAAGGAAUUGGACGGUAGUGACGAAGACAUGAGGCUCUCUGGGUUGGCGAUCUCACCUGGGAGCUUGGAGGCUCAGUCCAAGGCCACCUGAGGGAACCACUACAGCUUGAAGAGCCCACCGAGUCUCGAGAGAUGGC
RNAcentral lists this long non-coding RNA (348 nucleotides) under Musa acuminata (dwarf banana). Its description in RNAcentral is "long non-coding RNA (MACU_LNC002389)". Lineage: Eukaryota; Viridiplantae; Streptophyta; Magnoliopsida; Zingiberales; Musaceae. The record is from RNAcentral.